This 425-nucleotide ribosomal RNA is filed under the name uncultured bacterium. RNAcentral's name for it is "bacterial SSU rRNA". It matches the Rfam family "Bacterial small subunit ribosomal RNA", at positions 40 to 507 of the family's 1533-position model. The record is from RNAcentral.
CGGCAUGCCUAACACAUGCAAGUCGAACGAGACCUUCGGGUCUAGUGGCGCACGGGUGCGUAAACGCGGUGGGAAUCUGCCCCUUUGGGGUUCGGAAUAACUUCGGGAAACUGAAGCUAAUACCGGAUGAUGACGUAAGUCCAAAGAUUUAUCGCCCAAGGAUGAGCCCGCGUAGGAUUAGCUAGUUGGUGAGGUAAAGGCUCACCAAGGCGACGAUCCUUAGCUGGUCUGAGAGGAUGAUCAGCCACACUGGGACUGAGACACGGCCCAGACUCCUACGGGAGGCAGCAGUGGGAAUAUUGGACAAUGGGCGAAAGCCUGAUCCAGCAAUGCCGCGUGAGUGAUGAAGGCCUUAGGGUUGUAAAGCUCUUUUACCCGGGAUGAUAAUGACAGUACCGGGAGAAUAAGCUCCGGCUAACUCCGUG